AGCGUUGCUCUUGGAUAAGUAUCAAUAACCUCAGAACUAUGGAAAGAACCAUGUGUGGAGUUUGGCACCACAGAUAUUCUCUGAGUGAUUGAAGUCUCUUCUACCAUGAGGCCUUGAAAGCUCCAUGAUAGAGAUGACAGAGCUAUAAGAUGAAAGCAGCCCAAAUCCCUGAGUCACCAAUGUUUGAAGAAGAGCUUCCCAGGAGAGGUACAGUAAAAGCCUUGCCAUCACUCCCAUUAUACAGAGGAAGAAACUGAGACCUAGAGAAGUUCAGAACCUUGCUACAUCAAUCAGAAGUACAAGCCAAGGCUCAUGAAGUGGUUUCCUUAUUUUCUCACCCCAAGUUAGGAUCACCUCCGAAGGAAAUGACUUACACCCAAAUCAGGAUCUGUUUUUGAGGGAACCCAACAUAACACAUGGAGAGAUGGGUUUCCUAUGAAGAAGGAAAUAUGGGCUGUAAAAUACCACGGAGAGUCAGACCACCCCAUUCCUUUUUGAAUUGUCCAUGGCUGCUUUCCUGCUACAACAGAAGUUGAGUUAUUGCAACAGAGGUCGUCUGGGCCACAAGAUCUAAAGUAUUUACUCUGGCCCUUGAUGGAAGAAACUUGUC
RNAcentral lists this long non-coding RNA (610 nucleotides) under Homo sapiens (human). RNAcentral's name for it is "HSALNT0401125". Lineage: Eukaryota; Metazoa; Chordata; Mammalia; Primates; Hominidae. The record is from RNAcentral.